UUCUUUGCAACGUGCUUGGCCGACGCUAACAAUAGGCGCUAAGAUAUACCCGGCCGAGCUGUCCAGCAAUAAAGACGUGCUUAGUGUGUGAAGGGGGUAUCGUGUUAGAAGCCUGUGUGGCAUGUUUUAGUUUCACAAGUUCAGCAUUUGACGCGGACACGGAUAGCUGACCGUGUGUCAUAUUGUUGAUGUUGAGAAGAUGAAGAUGUGAUGGUGUAGAUGAUGUCGUUCAUGGUGAAGUCGAUGACGAUGCGAUGUUCAUGUUGAUGACGACGAUGAAGUUAUGGUGAUGAUGACGACGACGAUGAUGAUGGUCAUGUCGAUGAUGAUGAUGAUGUAGAUGAUGUCGUUCAUGGUGACGUCGGUGAUGAUUAUGAAGUAGAUGAUUAUGGUGAUGACGAUGAUGUCUAUUAUGAUUAUGGUGUUGGAGUUGAUGAUGUUGACGAUAGUGGUGAUGAUGAUGAUUGUGGUGACGAAACUACUCUAGUUGUGGUUGUCCGUAGUUGGUCCAGGACUACAGCCCCGGAGAUUCGGACACUCUUCUAAUUUAUUUUUGGUCAUUUGUAUAAACAUCAUAUUUUUUCUUGUUGAGUGAAAGGUGUGUGAGUGUUUGUGUGGUUUAGUGUUUAUAUUUCUAUCUUUUCUUUCUUUCUCUUAUUUUUUUUGUUAUUAAAUUUUGUUAAAUUUAA
Molecule: long non-coding RNA, 689 nt
Organism: Magallana angulata
Lineage: Eukaryota; Metazoa; Mollusca; Bivalvia; Ostreida; Ostreidae
Exons: 2
Source: RefSeq, a predicted model, not a curated record